This 251-nucleotide ribosomal RNA is filed under the name uncultured bacterium. RNAcentral's name for it is "partial 16S ribosomal RNA". It matches the Rfam family "Bacterial small subunit ribosomal RNA", at positions 84 to 334 of the family's 1533-position model. The record is from RNAcentral.
CCGGGACCGGGCCGGCCGACGGGUGGGUAACGCGUAUGCAACUUACCUAUCAGGAGGGGGUAACCCGGCGAAAGUCGGACUAAUACCGCAUAAAGCAGGGAUCCCGCAUGGGAAUAUUUGCUAAAGAUUCAUCGCUGAUAGAUAGGCAUGCGUUCCAUUAGGCAGUUGGCGGGGUAACGGCCCACCAAACCGGCGAUGGAUAGGGGUUCUGAGAGGAAGGUCCCCCACAUUGGUACUGAGACACGGACCAA